RNAcentral lists this transfer RNA (74 nucleotides) under Propionibacteriales bacterium. RNAcentral describes it as "tRNA-Lys". It matches the Rfam family "tRNA". Rfam says of the family: Transfer RNA (tRNA) molecules are approximately 80 nucleotides in length. Their secondary structure includes four short double-helical elements and three loops (D, anti-codon, and T loops). Lineage: Bacteria; Bacillati; Actinomycetota; Actinomycetes; Propionibacteriales. The record is from RNAcentral.
GGGCCUCUAGCUCAAUUGGUUAGAGCAGCGGACUUUUAAUCCGCGGGUUGUGGGUUCGAGUCCCACGGGGCCCA